GCUAUGGGCAGGUUGAAGGGUGGGUAACACUAACUGGAGGACCGAACCGACUAAUGUUGAAAAAUUAGCGGAUGACUUGUGGCUGGGGGUGAAAGGCCAAUCAAACCGGGAGAUAGCUGGUUCUCCCCGAAAGCUAUUUAGGUAGCGCCUCGUGAAUUCAUCUCCGGGGGUAGAGCACUGUUUCGGCAAGGGGGUCAUCCCGACUUACCAACCCGAUGCAAACUGCGAAUACCGGAGAAUGUUAUCACGGGAGACACACGGCGGGUGCUAACGUCCGUCGUGAAGAGGGAAACAACCCAGACCGCCAGCUAAGGUCCCAAAGUCAUGGUUAAGUGGGAAACGAUGUGGGAAGGCCCAGACAGCCAGGAUGUUGGCUUAGAAGCAGCCAUCAUUUAAAGAAAGCGUAAUAGCUCACUGGUCGAGUCGGCCUGCGCGGAAGAUGUAACGGGGCUAAACCAUGCACCGAAGCUGCGGCAGCGACGCUUAUGCGUUGUUGGGUAGGGGAGCGUUCUGUAAGCCUGUGAAGGUGUGCUGUGAGGCAUGCUGGAGGUAUCAGAAGUGCGAAUGCUGACAUAAGUAACGAUAAAGCGGGUGAAAAGCCCGCUCGCCGGAAGACCAAGGGUUCCUGUCCAACGUUAAUCGGGGCAGGGUGAGUCGACCCCUAAGGCGAGGCCGAAAGGCGUAGUCGAUGGGAAACAGGUUAAUAUUCCUGUACUUGGUGUUACUGCGAAGGGGGGACGGAGAAGGCUAUGUUGGCCGGGCGACGGUUGUCCCGGUUUAAGCGUGUAGGCUGGUUUUCCAGGCAAAUCCGGAAAAUCAAGGCUGAGGCGUGAUGACGAGGCACUACGGUGCUGAAGCAACAAAUGCCCUGCUUCCAGGAAAAGCCUCUAAGCAUCAGGUAACAUCAAAUCGUACCCCAAACCGACACAGGUGGUCAGGUAGAGAAUACCAAGGCGCUUGAGAGAACUCGGGUGAAGGAACUAGGCAAAAUGGUGCCGUAACUUCGGGAGAAGGCACGCUGAUAUGUAGGUGAAGUCCCUUGCGGAUGGAGCUGAAAUCAGUCGAAGAUACCAGCUGGCUGCAACUGUUUAUUAAAAACACAGCACUGUGCAAACACGAAAGUGGACGUAUACGGUGUGACGCCUGCCCGGUGCCGGAAGGUUAAUUGAUGGGUUUGGCGCAAGCGAAGGUCUUGAUCGAAGCCCCGGUAAACGGCGGCCGUAACUAU
Molecule: ribosomal RNA, 1228 nt
Filed under: Streptococcus suis
Lineage: Bacteria; Bacillati; Bacillota; Bacilli; Lactobacillales; Streptococcaceae
Description: partial 23S ribosomal RNA
Rfam family: Bacterial large subunit ribosomal RNA
Source: RNAcentral